AUGGUGGGCCGCCCUCUUCCCUCCUUCCCCUCCCCGCCGCGCUGGCUCCGGGGGCAGCCGCCCCUCCGGACCCACCCGGGCCCGCCCGGGAGCCGCCGCCAGGCCCCGGGACGAGCCGAGCCGGGCCGGGCCGGGCCGGGCCCCGCGGCUUCCCGGGGGCCGCCCGCAGCGCCCUUACCUGCGCCGGCCUCACAUGGCCGGGCCGGGGCCAGCAGCACCGCGCCCCCCCGGCUCCCCCGGCGCCGCCGGUGUCGCUGCCCCCCGCUGCCCGGGCCGAGGCGUCGUUGCUCGCCCCGGGCCCGCAGUCUUUAUUUUUGCACGCCUGAACCCUUCCGCUCCCUCCUCCCCCCACCCCCACCAGGCAGCCAGGGUUUUAAGGACAGCACCGGGUGCCAGAAGAGGUGUCCUCGCAGCUUGGGGCAGGGUUCAGACCUCAGAGAUCUCGACAUCGUGUCCUGGAUUGUCAGAUUAAGGUGCUGCCAAGAAACUUUAAACAGAUUGACAAGUCUUCAGAUUCACCAUCAGAGACAAAGUCUGCUAUUAGAGGCAUGAGGAAUGUAAACCUGCAACCAGUACAAGGAAAAGAUGGUUUAUGACCAAGAACAGCAAAGAGGGCAUUCUCUGGCACUUCACACUAAAUAUCAGUAUAGGUGUCUUCCAUUAAGUAAGAUUAUUGCAGUCAUUUCUGUUGUCCAUGCACAUCAGGAUGUCCAUGGGCUACCUGAAAAGCCCAUGGUCCACAAAAAGUAACUAAGAAAUACAAGGCAGUAUCUGUAAACAAGGGUCCCAAAAGCAAAAACAGGUUAAAAACAGUGCCACAUAUUACAAAGAGGCCUCUAAAAGGACAGAAAUGCAUUAUGGAGGCAAAAUUUCUCUGUUGGGUAACAGGGAGUCAGACAAGGAGAAAGAUAGGAAAGCAUUUUAUAGGAUUACCUCUACUCCAUCGUCAAAAGUGUGAAUUCCUGGGAAUUUAGAGUGCACAGCAUUGGUCUUACUAUCCAGGAAUAGCAUAGCAAAUUUUGAAAAGUUUAACAAAAGCUAGUUAUGCAAACAUUUUCAAACAACUGUUCCUGUAUGCCAAAUGACAUAGGCAAUUUCUAGCUCAGUUACACUUUCGAGGAAAUCUUCCUCCUCACUGGCUCGCUACAAGCAAAGGAUACUCUGAUUAUUGCUUGUCCCUGUCAGGCAUCUGAAAUACUGCAGUGCAGUUCCCAGGGAGGUUUGGGUAGGCCAAAGGUGCAGCCCUGGGUUUCCUGCUGCGCUCUUCAUUUCUUCUUCAUUUGUGAUUCUGAAAUGCAGGAGGAAUGCAAAAAGCCAUCUUUUCCCCCCAGAUCCUUAGCUGAUCUUAGAUACCGCCUUCAGAGAUCUAUAGCAGUGUUGCUGUUCAUGGUGUAAGGCUGCAGCAGAGAUGCAGGAAUGAGAUGUGUGGGGAAAAGUCCUAAGGAUAUCAUAAAGCCUGGCCCAGGCAGUGAGACUGUGGUGAUGUCCCUGUAGGAGUCUGAAUGGAAUCCAGCCCCAUCCUGAGUGUUGCUUCUCCUGAACUGGAGAAUGAUUUCCUGAUAGCUUUGCUUUUAUGUGCUCAUUUUCUUCUGGAGCUUCAUCCAUCAGACUAUCUGGCUGUAAUUCAUAGACUCAAUACUUUAUAGCACUUGAUGCUUCUCAUUGCUUCUGCAGGGCUCUUGAUCCUUGAUUUAAGAAUUAUAUCCUACUGCAGACUGUCUGGAUGAAGGACCUUUAAACUUGGCCUCUUGGAAUGGAGAGGGUCUGCAGAAAUUUUUGCUAGCAGGCCCAUCAGCAAACAAGCAAACUGGAAUUUACCAUGUCAUGUCCAGCCACCCUGCCUGUGUCGUGGCACGACAGGGACAGGGAGGACAGCUGUACAGGUGACUGCUUGAAUUAGACCCAGCUGCAUCCCUGUACAGACAUGAAUCAGGGUCCUACUGCUAUAUCUUGGAGAAGUAAAUUGCUUCCCAGCCCACAUGAUACUCACCUCUCUCUCUCUCACCUACACAUGUUGGUUUAAGUGCUGGAUCACAUCCUGUAAUGGCCUUGACCUCUACCUGGACCUCACACACUAGUGUUUUCCUUAUUUCCUGAGAAGUUAAAAAAAAAAAAAAAAAAAGCCUAAUCAGAGAGGAUCCACAAUCACAGCCAUUUUUUCCCUUUCCUUCCCUUAGGAUCCUUUCAGAAGCCCAGCAGAAGACUGCUGGGGCUCUUGAGAACUUUAUCUCCACUGCCAACACAAAAACUUUCUCAGAGUCUUUGUCCGUACUUUUCUUAUAUAAAUGGGUGUUUGAGGCAGUAACUUUUUAGAUGCAUGUCUAUAACACUCCAGGUCCUCUGUAAAAUAGAUGCUAACAAAUAAUCCAUUUGCUGCCAGAACAACUAGGAAACUUCUCCCUCCUGCUAUCUUUGUUUUUAGGUAGGCCAGAUAUCCUGAGGUUGGCAGUGAGCCCUAGAAAUAAAUUAUUGUGAGUGAGAGGUGAGAUACAGACAAUGUCACACCACUGCAGGUCAUUUUGUGUUAGCCAAAGCUGCUCAAACGGGGCACUGUAUAGUUAGAACCUCAGCAAAAUCCAGCGUGGAAUGUGAAAAUGAAAGGAAAAGCAAGUCGUGGAGGGGCUUGCCAAAUAGCUUGAUUGGUUCAACCUGAAAGGGAACGUGCUGCCUUGGAGCUGGAUGCAGGAAACAUUGCACAGGUAUGCAUACAGGAUUUUACCCAGGCGGGCGGCUCUAGUGCCUUAUCAUGCACAGCAAAGGGAGGAUGGCAUCAAAAGCCUUCCCCUGUGGUUGAAACGGCAUCACUGCCUCUGCCUUAACUCCAUCCUGCCCAUUCUUGUUCACUCAGAAACCACAGUGCUAAGAAGAUGCUUCUUCCCAGCUCGUAUCCUCAUGCAAUAAUGCCCAUCUAAGUGUUGUUGCUUGUGGUGUAAGUCAGUGCUGCUCGCUGCUCAGACCAGUCCUUUGCUUUAUUUCCUGCCAUUGGCUAGACACAAAAUCCAGCCCACAAACAAAUUAACCUGUCCCAUGCAUCUAUAAAGAUGAUUACCAGUUAAAGAAUUGCACACAGAAGUCCCUGACUUGUAUUAAGAGAACCUUGAAUGGCUGUAAAAACAAGCACUUAAAAUUAUAGAAAUUCAGAAAUGGAUGAAGAGCUUGAAGCUUUUGGUUUGUCUUUUUUUGGGUGCAUAUAAUUAUGCACAAUAGUGUAGUUUUUAAUGAUGUAAACACGUGAAUUUUCAAAAGCUUAGCUUUUACGAAGGAGGACAAACAAAGCUGAAAUAUGCCUUCCUCCCCACUCAGUGUCUUUGCAUGAGAGGCAGUCCUAGAGUGACCUCUCAGCUUCUAUAUGUAAUGACAUAGUGCCCUCUGUUGGGAAGCUGUUCCUGAUGCUGUCUUCUCCCUGCAGUCAGGUGAGGUAGCAUUAACACAAAUAAUCAUACUUUCAGACAUGCUUCCAUAUACUGAUGAAGCAGGUUUAAAUUUUUUUCCUCCUUAGCCACUGCAGAUGUUUUGUGUUAGGUUUGAGCAAGCAGUUGCACUACAUUACUAAUAAGGUUUUCUGUGAAAGUGUCAAGAAAGACCUACCAUUUUAUUAUAGUUUCAGCUUUUUAAAAAUAAAGCCUCCAUGAUUUUAGCCACAGAAGAAACUGAGAACCCCUUGUUCAGCUGGGUGCACAUGAGUCAUGCUGCUUCACAUCAGCAAUAAGAUGUGUGGGGCUACAGACUGGCUGCUUGCUCUGUGUGUGUGGACAGGAUGAUUAGGUUUCGCCUAAAUAAACUGUCUUUAAGAGAGGUUGUUGGGCAGAGGAAGCAAAUCCUACUGCAUGGAACACCCUCUCCUGUAGCACAAUGGUUUAUCUCUAUUAUUCCUGACAAGAAGAAAAGAAAACAUUCUCCCCUGGGCUUUGCCUGAUCCCUCUUCCUCACUUACCCUACCAAAGUAGGGCCAAGGUUGGCCAUUUGUCUCCCACCCUGUCCUGCCAUCCUCAGCAUCCAAUCCUCAUCAUACAUCGAUGAAUCCUCACCCUGCUCCAAACACUGCAACGAGAUUAAUGCUAUACUUAUCCAAAACAUGUGCACUGUGUUAGCCCAGCCUAAUAUAACUUGGUGGGAUCUACCUUGAGAGCACAGUGCUGGUCACAGACACCUUCUGUGGGACCAAACCCUUGCUCUAACCCAGCUCUCACACAGUGUUUGAUCCUUAAUAUCAGUGGCCUUGUUAGGCCUUGAAAAUAUAUAUUUUCUUCUGGCUCAUGGUAGCACAAGACCAAAACCCAGCUAUGCCACCCAUGCUGGCUUUCCUGAAGGCCGCAGAUUUAAUAUUAAUCCUUUAAUAGCCCGCGUGUUUAGUGAUAGAAAAGUCCGAGCAUUUUACUGAAAUCGCUCCACAAUGUUGGUCCAACAUACUAUCAUCCUUAAAGUUGCCAGGGACAAUUUUUUAGAAGCCAGUUCAGGCAACACAUCAUCUCCUAUUUUAUCAGCUUCUAGCCUAGUCCACAGAUUUCAUCCAACUUGGUGAGUUGUCAAAGUAGAGCUCUCAAAGUGAGCUUUCAGAGAAAUACAACCAGCCACACAGUGGUGGGUAAGUAUCAUUUGUCUGGAGCUAUGAUGCUAUUGAUGGGAAGGCAGACUGAAGUGGGAUUGUUUUAUAUAAGCAAAGGCACAGUUUUCAUGAAGCGAGCUUUUGUCCUUAACUCACAAAAAGGGCCUUUAUGUGAUUCUCACUGUGUGAUAUUUUUAGUUUUCUUUGCAUUUAAUUAAGAAUGGCACAAGAAUAAUACUGCAAAUAAAACAUAAAAGCCAAAUGAACUUAUAAAAAAAAGUGUUUUUUCUACCUUAGGGGGAAAAAAACAACAAACAAACAAACAAAAAAAACUUGGUACAUUACAUUCAAAGCUUAGAUUGUAAACUGGUAGAGACCACAUCUGUGUCCUGUGCUUGUCAUGCAUUUAUCUCAGUGAAGAGUCUCUUCUGAAGUUAUAACAUCACCUGGGAUGGAUGAAUUGCAGUUCCCAAACCAUAACAGAGCAAAAAGAAAUUAAGACAAAAGUUAUUCAAAGGUUAGCUUGUUACAAUGGUUAGUUGGUGAAUAAGAGAUCUAAAUACUUUAUUUCUGUCAAAGGGACAAAAGGUGAGGUAAACAAACUGUGUAAGGUCUUGGAUUUGAAGUAUUUCACAGCUACAGCUUACAAUGACUAAUAUAGUGCAAACAAUGAUUUAUAAUAAUUCCAGAAUAUGUCAUGCUUCCUCAGAACAGAACAAGUAUAAAGUUGCCUUCUUUCUGUUUUGGACAGGUGCUCCAGACAACCAAGUUAAAUGUCAAUCCAGUGCCCAGAUACUCUCUUAAUACCCAGAGAUCUCAAUAUGGCUGAUACCCUGCUUUGUGGUUCUGACUCCACACAACUAUCUGCUUUUUUACCUCUUUUUCUCUCUCAAUACAUAAAGGUUCCCCAUUUCUUGAAUCUCCUCCUUUGUCAUUAGUGAUUCUCACAAAACCAAAAUGAUCUCUCAAAGCCUAUCAUCUUAGUAAG
RNAcentral lists this long non-coding RNA (5534 nucleotides) under Cairina moschata (Muscovy duck). RNAcentral's name for it is "domestica (muscovy Duck (domestic type)) lncRNA (ENSCMMG00000000575.1)". Lineage: Eukaryota; Metazoa; Chordata; Aves; Anseriformes; Anatidae. The record is from RNAcentral.